UUUUCCUUUUUCUCCUCUCUCACACUAGGUCUGUCUGUCAGUAUCUCCUGAGCUUUUGCAGCCUGUACAUUAUCCCCGACAGUGAAGCAUUAACCGAAAACAACCGUGGAGAUGAGGAAAAACACCGAAAAGAAAGAAGAAAAAGGAGAAAACGAAGAGGAAGACGAGGAGGAUGAAGAUGAAUCAGUAGCCUCGGUAAGAUUAGUGGCAUAGUUGCAAGAGAAAAUGGAAUGGAACUGACUUAAGAUAGCAGUGUAGCGGUAUUUCUUCCGAUAACUCAGAUUCAUCUUGUCACUAAUUUCGGGAAAUGGCACCGCUCUUGAAACUUUCAUUUGCACUUGGUUUGACAAAAUAGUAAUCUAUAUUUCUGUGUUUUUAUUUAGAUUUUUGGUCUGUUAUUUUUUCUAAUAACUAAUACAUGUGUCCACCCAACGUAGAAAGGCAGAAACUAGCCAUAUACAUACAUACAUACAUACAUACAUACAUACAUACAUACAUACAUACAUACACAUAUAUAUAUAUGUAUCUAUAUGUAUAUAUGUAUAUAUACAUACAUAUAUAUAUAUAUAUAUAUAUAUAUAUAUGUAUGUAUAUAUAUAUAAUUGUAUGUAUAUGCGUAUCUAUAUGGCAGUGUGAUAAGCUGUGAUAUUGGCAUCAAAGACAGCCCAUCGCAUUCAUCAUCAUCUCCAGCAUCACCACCAUCAUCAGCAUCAUUUGUUUUGCACGUUCAUUGCUGCUGUUGCUGCUGCCUUCUCUGUUGCUUUCACUUCCGUCAUUGCAACCAUCAGCAUCAUCAACAUUGUCGUCAUCACCACCACCGUCGUCAUCCUCAUCACAAUCAUGAUGAUAAUGACGAUGAUGAUAACGAUGGCGAUGAUGAUGAUGAUGAUGAUUAUUAUCAUCAUCAUCAUCAUCACUAUUUUCAUCUUAUUUAAUAUCUAUGUUAUCAGUUCUCUCCGCAUCAUCACCAUUAUCAUCAUCAUUGUCACUUUUAUACAUCAUCAUCAUCAUCAUCACCACUAUUGGGCACAGCAGCAGCAACAACAGCAGUUGUUGUAGUAGUAAAAACAAUAAUGCUAGUAGUAGUAGUAGUAGCAGUAGUAGUAGUAGUAGUUGUUGUUGUAGAAGCAGCAGCUGUAGUAGUAGUUGUAGUUGUAGUGGUAGUAGUAGUAGUAGUUGCAACUGCGGUAGUAGCAGCAGCAGCAAUGAUAGUAGUAGUAUUAGUAGUAGUAGUAGUAGUAAUGGAAUUGGUGCUGCUGAUAGAGAGGAUGGUGCUUCUUAUGCUAAGGUGAAGCAUAUGAUGAUGAUGACGAUGAUGAUGAUAAUGAUGGUGAUGAUGAUGAUGAUGAUGAGGUAGACGAUAAUGUUUAUGAUGAAUUGAAUAAUGAUUAUUAUCAUCAUCAUCGUCAUUAUUACUAUUAUUAUUAUUAUUAUUAUUAUUAUUAUUAUUCGGUUGAACUACAGUAUUGGUAAUACAAAUAACAACAACAAUAACCAUUCCACAACAACAACAACAACAACAGCAACAACGACAGCAACACAUCAUCGUCUCUCUCUCUGCACAGCUAACACUGUUGGUGGCAGUAGCAGUUAGCAAAAGCAGUCAGCAGCAGAAAUUAAGGCAGCUAGUAGCAGAAUUUCCUUGUUGCAGGCUAACAGACUGUUGUAGCCGCCAUAGUAAUGAAGCCAGUAUGAAGAUGGAUGUCUGUAAUGAAGAUUGCUUGGCAUUUUCUUUCCAGUAUUUCUCUUUUUUUUUUUCUACUUCUCUCUCUCGCUCUCUCACUUUCACUUUCCUUCUUUCUCUCUUUUUCUCACUGUUGAUGUUGAUAGCAGCUAACGGCAGCACUCUAUACCAUUUUCACCAUUUUACUCGUAAUAAUGCCAUCACCAAACACUACCAAACUAGCAUCACCUUAAAACCACAUAUGGUUGCUUACAUUCUCUUUCAUGUUAUGUCUUUAUCAUCAUCAUCAUCACCAUUUAUUAUUAUUAUCAUUGUUAUUAUCAUUAUUAUUAUCAUUAUUAUUAUUAUUAUUAUUAUUAUUAUUAUUAUUAUUAUUAUUAUUAUUAUCACUAUUAUUAUUAUUAUUAUUAUUAUUAUUAUUAUUAUUAUUAUUAUUAUUAAUAUUAUUAUUAUUAUUAUUAUUUUGUGACCUUACCUUCCUUAGCAUGGAACCUAUUUUACUUAUAUUACCAGCAAGCAUUAGUCUUUACAACACCAUCACACUGCAGUUUACCUCAUCCUCCACCACCACCACCACCACCACCACCACCAACAUUAAGUGCAAAAUAUUUUUAUUUUGUUUUAUUUAUUUCUAAUAUAUUAACAAUUUUUUGUCAUUCCAAAAUUAAAAAGUGUCUUUAUAUGUCAUUGAGUUUUUUAGAAAAAUCUACCAAAAUUUCUGUCAAAUUAUACUCACUUUAAACAAAAUCUUAUCGGAUAUUUUAGCCCUGGGAAGGACCCUGAAAAGAAAAAAACAGAAAGAAGUAACAUAUUCUUAAUCAUAAACUUGCUUGAUGAGAGUUGACCUGGGGUCAAAUAACAACAAAAACAACUACAGCAAUGACAACAUCAUACCAACAUGAAAAAAUAUAAAAUGAUGAUGAUGACGAUAAUGAUUGUGAUAAUGAUGAUGGUCCUUAAAUAUUUCUAUAGUUACAUAGUUAUUAUCGCUUUUUUCUCAUUUUGUGUUAUUGGACGAAGAUGUCACAGAGGUGAUCAGACCACUGGCUAUUCCAACAUUUGUCCAAUGUUUCCCUAACAAUGUUCACAGAAUUCCUUUUUGGGGUUUAUAUUUUCUCACCUAUGUCGGUCGAACUCAAAGGCUAGAGAAUUUUACUCAGGGACCCAUCAACUACAUACCCUGCUCUCUACCUCAUUGCCAAGAAUCAUUCUUCUCCAGGUCUAUUAGGUUGAUAAUUUAACUGUAAAGUAAAUAAUAAACUUUGUCAGUUAGAGAACCCUCAUCAACUUUCUUAUGGCCACAGUGGAAUGCUACAAUCACAGUCAGAUUAUACAUUCUCAGUUAUAACAAUAUAAUUACUACACUUCAUUAAUUUGCCUAAAUUUGAACACAAUAUCUCAUAUUUACAUGUAACUGUUUCACAAUUUCUGUUUAAACUUACAUGUUAAGAUAAAAUCUAAGAUCGGUUAUAAGACUGGCGGGCAGGUGGAGGUUAAUGUAUUAAUCAUGAGUAGUAGCAAUCCUCAUUAUUGGGGUCCUUUUCCCUUUUCUUCAGUAUUUUUGUCACCUCAAACAUUUCUUAUUUUAUUUUCACAUGUUUUUCUGUAAACUCACAUUGUGCUGCCCUGUUCUCUCUAGAUCUCUUAUUGUCUCAGAUCCUUUGUGGCUAAUAAAGAAAUUUAUUAUUAAUAUUAUUAUUAUUAUUAUCAUUAUUAUUGUUAUUAUUAUUAUAAUAAUUAUUAUUAUUGUUCUUUAAGGUGAAGGAAUUGCUGACAUAAAGCAUUAUUGAAAUACACCAGUGCGGAAGCAGAACUACUAAGCACUAUUUAGUUAUGUCCCUUUGGUGUUCAAAUCUUGUCAAGGUCAUUUUAGCUGUUUAUCCUUCCAGGGUCAGUAGACCACACACCUCUAAUGUGUAGCAGUGAAUCUAAUUUCUUUUACUUUUUUAUAUUUUUCUUUUAUUUGUUUCUGUCAUCAGACUGGCCAUGCUGGGGCACCACCUCCAAGAAUGCUUUCGUUGAACGAAUCAAACCUAAUACUUUUUUUAUAUUUUUUAAAGCCCAGUACUUAUUCUGUUGAUCUUUUUUGCUGAACUGCUAAGUUAUGGGGACGUAAAUACACCAACACCAGUUGUCAAGUGGUUGUUGGGGACAAAAUCAAACACAGAGAUACAUACAUACAUACAUACAUACAUAUAUAUAUAUAUAUACACAUACAUAUAUAUACACAUACAUAUAUAUAUAUAUAUAUAUAUAUAUAUAUAUAUAUAUAUGUAUAUGAUGGGCUUCUUUCUGUUUCUAUCUACCAAAUCAACUCAUGAAGCUUUGGUUGGUCCAAGGUUAUAACAGUAAGCACUCACUCAAGGUGUCAUGUGGUGGGACUGAACCAAGAACCCUGUGGUUGGGAAUCAAGCUUCUUAUCACACAGCCACACCUGCACCUAAUUGCCUAAACUCUUUCUCUGCAUAUUUAUUACCUUUGUUCAAUAUACAUAAAAAAAAAAAAUUAAAAUUCCAUGGAGACUUUCCUUUACAUUGAAAGUUCAAACACAUUUGAGGUCAAACUUACAUUUCAUUUUUUUUUGAUAAUUAAUUGAAGUACUAUUGAAAUUCUGAAUGUUGGUUUAAAACAAAUAUAAUUCAUUACCAAAAUUCUGUGUGGUUAAGCCUAAGUGAGACAUUGCAAGUUCAAAUCCCAUGGAGAUUAACUUUGCUUUUUCUCCUUCUGCAGUUGACAAAUAAAGUACCAAUCAAGUACUUGGGUUGAUAGAAUUAACCCAUUCUUCUUUUAGCAUUGCUGAUAUGUGUCUGAAUUAAUAAUAAUAAUAAUAAUAAUAAUAAUAAUAAUAAUAAUAAUAAUAAUAACAAUCUUUUCUACUAUAGGUACAAGGCCUGGAAUUUUGGGGGAGGGUAUAGUCAAUUACAUUGACACCAGUGUGUAACUGGUAUUUAUUUUAUCAACCCUGAAAGGAUGAAAGGCAAAAUUGACAAAAUUGACAUAAAAAACAUUUUGUCUGGCGUGCUAACAAUUGUGUCAGCUCACCACCUUAAUAAUAAUGAUGAUGAUGAUGAUGAUAAUAAUAAUAAUAAUAAUAAUAAUAAUAAUAAUAAUAAUAAUAAUAAUAAUAACCUUUCUGCUAUAGGUACAAAGUCUGAAAUUUUGAGGAAGUGAGGUCUAGUCAAUUAUAUUGACCCCAGUACUCAACUGGUACUUAUUUUAUCAACUAUGAAAGGAUGGCAAGCAAAUGUGACCUUGGUAGAUUUUGAACACAGAACAUAGAGAUGGAUAAAAUGCUGCUAAGCAUUUUGGGCUUAUGCUUCUGCCAGUCUGUCUCCUUCAAGAAUAAUAUUUGAUUCAAACAUAGGCUUGAGAAUUGUGGAAGGAAGUUAGUCAGUUGGUUUUAGUACUUUACUAGUGCUUUAUGCCAUUGAUCCCAGGGCAAUGAAAUGCAGAGUUGACUUUGGUGGGAUUUGAAAUCAAAAUCAAAAGACUGUGACCAAAUGUUGCAAGACACUAUAACAAUUUAAUAACAAUUAAUACUACUACAGCUACAAUUACUACUGUAAAUAAAGAGGAAGAAAAGCAGAGAAAAAAAGUCCCCUAAAAUUUGAAAUAGGAGGAAUUUGGAGCUUGCAAACAGUAAAGGUCAUGCCUAUAAUAAUUGGUGUCCUGGGAAUGGUCAGCCAAGAUUUAGACAAAUGACUGAGGGAGAUUGAAAUAGAAAUGCCUGGUAGAGCUCCUAUGGAAAGUUUGUCUCUUAGAGACAGCAAGGGUUAUCAGGAGGGUCCUAAAUAAACAUUUAAAAGACUGCUGAAAACUGGUGGAUACCUUAAUCCACAUAAUCCCUUCCAGGAAUAAGACUGAACCUGAGACAAACCAAAAAUAAUCCUUUCCACUAUGGGCACAUGGUCUGAAAUUUUGUGGGAUGGGGUCUAAUUGAUUACAUCGGCCCCAAUGUGAAACUGAUGGUUUAUGACCGAACAGCUUGUCUGACAUGCUAAUGAUUCUGCUAGCUCACCACUUUCAUAAUAAUAAUAAUAAUAAUAAUAAUAAUAAUAAUUAUGAUAGUUUUCAAUUGAGGCCCAAGGCAAACAAAUUUUGAGGGUAGUGUUUGUUGUUGCCGUUGACACUAGUACUUCACUGGUACUUUAUGUCAUCAUAUGGAAGAGGGGUCAACUUUGUUUUUUCACAGUUCUAUAUUUAAGAGAUGAGGAAUUGCGUACAUUAUUUACAUUAUUUACUUUCGAUGGAUAUUUGUCCUCAUCUUUUUUGUUGUUAACACAAAGUUUCAGCUGAUAGACCCUCCAGUCUUCUUCAGGUGUCUUGGGGAAAUUUCGAACCUGGGUUCUCAUUCCUAAGGUAUUUUUUGAUAUUAUCAUUAUUAUUAUUAUUAUUAUUAUUAUUAUUAUUAUUAUUAUUGCUAUUGUUAUUGUUCAGGUCACUGCUUGGAAUCGAACUUGGAAUCUUGGGGUUAGUAGCCUGCGCUCUUAACCACUACACCAUAAGCCCGUGGGCAUUUGUUUUUUUAAUUAGCUACCCUCAAAAUUUCUGGUCUUGUGCCAAACUUUCAAGCAGUUAUUAUUAUUAUUAUUAUUUAUUACUGUGCUUUGCAAUAUUAAAUUACAAACCAAAGUUUGCUGACAAUAUUCGCAUUUGGUGAAAUAUAGUACCAGCCAAUAUUUAUUUUUCUAUUUAUUUUCCUGUGGGAUUUCUAUUUCUUUCAUUUACUUUUAUUACUAUUUUAAAUCAGUUUCAUUUUGACAGAGUCCGUGCUUGAAAAUUGAUUUGAAUAAAUCUUUUAAAGAUAAAAAAUUAAAUUCUAAUUUUAUAUAAUUUUUUUCUGCAGCUUCGUUGGUGGAAGACUACAGAAAAACUUGAACUAUAUGCAGUAACUCUGAUGCUGUGUGGAAAUAAACAUUGGAAGAAAUCCUACCUGUAGAACUGCUGCAGUAGAAAGUAGUACAUCAUGAUAUUAUGGUGUUUAUUUUUUUGUCUGCAUAAUGGAAAACUGGUCUGGAUUUUUGUGAGUGAAAUUCAGAAAUGGGAUGGUGUCGAUCCUGGUGAGAGAUUAGGGCUCACACUGAAAAUCACCGAAAAAAGAAACAAAAAUUGUUUAGUAAGAUAGCCAAUUAGUUGCAAUUCCAUAUAUAUAUAUAUAUAUAUAUAUAUAUAUAUAUGUGUAUAUAUAUAUUUAUAAAUAUAUAUAAUUGAUAAAGAGGACAACAAUUAAAUAUCCACUGCAUCAGAAAUCCGUAAUGGCUCCAUAACUACCAUCUCAGCUAUAACCAUGGACCCCUGGUAAUUUGUUACAUCAUUUACCUAGUAUUCCUAAUUGUUUAGAUCACUUGUGAACUAAACCCCCA
This 7047-nucleotide long non-coding RNA is filed under the name Octopus vulgaris (common octopus). Lineage: Eukaryota; Metazoa; Mollusca; Cephalopoda; Octopoda; Octopodidae. The record is from RNAcentral.